AAAAACAGUUGUUGGCAUGACACGGGUUAUGUUCUUCUCAUAUAUGUUAUGAUGGUAUGAUACUAAACCCCUAACGGGAAGGAUUGUGCCUGAUGUUCAUAUGAUGAAAUCAUAAUCUUUCAGUCAGUUUAAUUGAAGUCUGGAGCUGGCAUGUCAGUUAACUGCUAGUAGCCUGUUGUUAUUUAUGUAUUAUUGUCAUUUUGUUUAUUUUCUU
RNAcentral lists this long non-coding RNA (214 nucleotides) under Mytilus galloprovincialis (Mediterranean mussel). The record is from RNAcentral. Lineage: Eukaryota; Metazoa; Mollusca; Bivalvia; Mytilida; Mytilidae.